ACCCCUUAGAAUAUUUUUUCCUCCAGACUAAACAGUCUUAGCAUUCCCAGCCUUUCCUAGUAUGAAUGACACUCACAAUCUUCCUCACGGCCCUCUGUUGGAUUCCCCCCAUUAUGUCUGCCUCUCUCUUGUACUGGGGAGUCCAGAACUGCACACAGUACUCCAUGUUUGGCUUCACCAGUGCUGCGUAGAGGGAAGGAUCCCCUUCCUCAACCUGCUGACAACAUUUCUAAUGAAGCCCAGAAUACCAUUAGCUGCCUUUUGUGCAUGGGCAUAUUGUUGGCUGAUAGUCAAUGUGGUGUCCACCAGGAGCUCGGGUCCUUUUCUGUAAGGCUUUUCAGUCAGGUGUUCCUCAGCAUGUACUGAUCCAUGACCCAUGAACUUCAUUACAGUGGUACUAAGUGUCAGUAGAGCAGGCAGGAUGGUCCUCAAGUAUGAACUUAAACAGAAGUCUGGAGUUCUUUCCCAGAGUGUGUUUAACCAGUUUUUCAUAACAGUCAUCACUUUUGCCAUUCACUGAAAAUUCAAAAUUAUAAUUUGUAAAACACUGAGUUCCUUGAAAGGAAAGCUUCAUAUAUCUGAUAAUAGAAUAGAAUAGAAUAGAAUAGAAUAGAAUAGAAUAGAAUAGAAUAGAAUAGAAUAGAAUAAUUCUAGUUCAAACUAGUCCAACACUUCAGGGCAGACUGAACAUUAAGGGAUACUAUUAAGGGCAUUGACCACUGCUCUAGGAAGCUUGGUCCAGUGUUUGGUCACUCUCUCUCUAAAGAAGUGUUGCCUAAUAUCUGGUCUGAACCUCACCUGCUGCAUCUUUAAAUCAUUCCUGCAUGUCCUGUCACUGAAUACCAGGGAAAAAAGCUCAGCAUCUCCCUCCAGUUCCCCUCCUCAGGAAGCUGUAGAUAGCAGUGGGCUUGCCUCUCAAUCCCCUUUUUUUCCUAACUAAAUAAACCCAGAGUGCUUAGCCACUCCUCAGAGGACAUGUGUCCUAGCAUUUCAGCAGCUUUGUUAUCCUCCUCUGGACACAUUCAGUUAACAUCCUUUUUAAUUUCGGGGUGAGAGAAAUUCUGAUAAUUUACUGUUCUUUUAUGAUGGCUGGUUACACACUACAUUUUUUUGUAGACCACAAAGAAAAGAAAUUUUAAAUUAUUGAUUACUUUGACUUUUUGGAGGGGGACAAAGAGAGUGUAGAAGUCCUGUGGGGAGCCUAAGGCCAACCUUCUUGAGGGACUCAGAAUGCCUGUUAAUUCAUUGAUGUCCUGGUGUUAAAAUCUGCCAGUUUGUCUGGUCAGCUCAAGCAGCAUUGUCAAAGAGGGGAUGAUAUAAUAUAAUUUCAGGUAUAUGCAUUAAAAAUACCUUCUGCAUAUCUGGGAAUCAAAUGCUAAGGACUUUAUGGAGAAAAUACAAAGAAACAUUGAUCCUUUAUGUAAUUUCAUAUAGGUCAUUAAUCAAAUAUAUAUUAAGGGUGUAUCUAAUUCCAGUGGACCAAAAGUCAAUUUUGUUGAGCCAGAUCUUAAGGAUGUAUUUCAACUGAAUUAGUUUUUUAAAUGUGCCCCUUCUCUUCCUUGUUGGUUGACAUGAGCUAAUGAGUUGCUAGCAACUCUGUUUGGUACUACCUUAGGUCACAGAGUGAUGUGCUGUCUAGGAUGUUGCUGUACUUUUUUGGCAGCAGAUUGUAAUUUCAUUGAGUAAAUGUAUUUUAUGAGGUUAGAGGGAGCUACUGUUAAUUUAUGAAGACCACCGUGUAUCAGUGCAUUGGGUUUGCAUGGCCAGGUUUUGGUAGCUGGGGGGCUACAGGGUGGCUUCUAUGAGAAGCUGCCAGAAACUUCCUCCAUGUCCAGCAGAAACAAUGCCAGCUGGCUCCAGAUGGAUGUUCUGCUGGCUAAGGCUAAGCCAGUCAGGAAUGAUAGUAACACUUCUGUGGUAUCAUUCUUGAGAAGCAAAGAAAACUUGCACAGAAGCAAUUGUGGCCAUAGAAGAAUGGAAGGAGAAUAUGUGACAGUAGCAACUCUGCAGACAUCAAGGUCAGCAAAGAAGGCAAGGCAGGAGGGUCUCUGGGUACCAGAGCUGAGAUCCCCCUGCAGCCUGUGGUGAAGACCAUGGUGAGGCAGGAUGUGCUCCUGUAGCCCAUGGAAAUCCAUUGGAGUGCAGAGAUCCACCUGCAGCCCAUGGAGGGAGCCCCACACUGGAGCAGGGAAUGCCUGAAGGAAGGUUGUGACACCUUGGAAAACCUGUGCUGGAACAGGCUCCUGGCAGGGACCUGCAGAUCCAUGGAGGGAGGAGCCCACACUGGAGCAGAUUUCCUGACAGGACUUGUGAUCCCAUGGGAGCCCAUGAUGGAGCAGCUUGUUCUUGAAGGACUGAACUCCGUGGAGAGGGAUUUGUUUUGGAGCAGUUUGUGAAGAACUGUAACCCAUGAGAAGAAUUCAUGCUUGAGGAAUUCAUGGAGGACUGUUUCCUAUGGAAAGGACCCCAGACUAGAGCUGGGAAAUGACUCCUCUCCUUGAGGAGGGAGUAGCAACAGAAACAACAUGUGAUGAACUGC
This 2539-nucleotide long non-coding RNA is filed under the name Taeniopygia guttata (zebra finch). RNAcentral describes it as "lncRNA (ENSTGUG00000021819.1)". Lineage: Eukaryota; Metazoa; Chordata; Aves; Passeriformes; Estrildidae. The record is from RNAcentral.